CCUACGGGUGGCAGCAGUGGGGAAUAUUGGGCAAUGGGCGCAAGCCUGACCCAGCAACGCCGCGUGAAGGAAGAAGGCCCUCGGGUUGUAAACCUCUUUUAUCAAGGACGAAACAAAUGACGGUACUUCAUGAAUAAGCCACGGCUAACUACGUGCGAGCCGCCGCGGUAAUACGUAGGUGGCAAGCGUUAUUCGGAUUUACUGGGUGUAAAGGGCGGGUAGGCGGGACUGCAAGUCAGAGGUGAAAACCAUGGGCUCAACCCAUGGACUGCAUUUGAAACUGUAGUGCUUGAGUGUUGGAGAGGAUGGCGGAAUUCCGGGUGUAGCGGUGAAAUGCGUAGAUAUACGGAGGAACACCAGUGGCGAAGGCGGCCUGCUGGACCAUAACUGACGCUGAGGCGCGAAAGCGUGGGGAGCAAACAGGAUUAGAUACCCGAGUAGUC
This 443-nucleotide ribosomal RNA is filed under the name uncultured bacterium. Its description in RNAcentral is "partial 16S ribosomal RNA". It matches the Rfam family "Bacterial small subunit ribosomal RNA", at positions 338 to 795 of the family's 1533-position model. The record is from RNAcentral.